This 440-nucleotide ribosomal RNA is filed under the name uncultured bacterium. Its description in RNAcentral is "bacterial SSU rRNA". It matches the Rfam family "Bacterial small subunit ribosomal RNA", at positions 338 to 795 of the family's 1533-position model. The record is from RNAcentral.
CCUACGGGUUGCAGCAGUGGGGAAUCUUGCACAAUGGGGGAAACCCUGAUGCAGCGACGCCGCGUGAGCGAUGAAGCCCUUCGGGGUGUAAAGCUCUUUCGACGGGAACGAUAAUGACGGUACCCGGAGAAGAAGCUGCGGCUAACUACGUGCCAGCAGCCGCGGUAAUACGUAGGCAGCAAGCGUUGUUCGGAGUUACUGGGCGUUAAGAGUGUGUAGGCGGUUCGCUAAGUUUGGUGUGAAAUCUCCCGGCUUAACUGGGAGGGUGCGCCGAAUACUGGUGGGCUAGAGUGUGGGAGAGGGAAGCGGAGUUCCUGGUAUAGCGGUGAAAUGCGUAGAUAUCAGGAGGAACACCGGUGGUGUAGACGGCUUCCUGGACCACAACUGACGCUGAGGCGCGAAAGCGUGGGGAGCAAACAGGAUUAGAUACCCGCGUAGUC